RNAcentral lists this ribosomal RNA (459 nucleotides) under uncultured bacterium. RNAcentral's name for it is "partial 16S ribosomal RNA". It matches the Rfam family "Bacterial small subunit ribosomal RNA", at positions 338 to 795 of the family's 1533-position model. The record is from RNAcentral.
CCUACGGGAGGCUGCAGUGAGGAAUAUUGGUCAAUGGGCGAGAGCCUGAACCAGCCAAGUCGCGUGCGGGAUGACGGUCCUAUGGGUUGUAAACCUCUUUUGUCGGGGAACAAAGGCGUCCACGUGUGGACUGAUGAGUGUACCCGAAGAAAAAGCAUCGGCUAAUUCCGUGCCAGCAGCCGCGGUAAUACGGAGGAUGCGAGCGUUAUCCGGAUUUAUUGGGUUUAAAGGGUGCGUAGGCGGACAGUCAAGUCAGCGGUAAAAAUGCGGUGCUCAACGCCGUACAGCGGUUGAAACUGGCAGUCUUGAGUGAGCGGGAAGUAGGCGGAAUGCGUGGUGUAGCGGUGAAAUGCAUAGAUAUCACGCAGAACUCCGAUUGCGAAGGCAGCAUGCCGGCGCCCUACUGACGCUGAGGCACGAAAGCGUGGGUAUCGAACAGGAUUAGAUACCCCUGUAGUC